AGCAGAAGAGGGCAGUGGGUUUGGGAACUGCAGGUGGGAAGGGGGGGGUGCAGCUGUGGUCCUAGGGGCCAGGGGGAUAGUGCGAACGGAGCCCUAUGGGACACUGACCACAAGGGGUAGGGGAGGGCCCCCAAGGAGCGAGACGAGGGAGAGCCAGGAGGAGAGGGCAGCCAAGAGCUCCAGGAGCAGGGAUCUGCUCCUACAGGUGCAUUGACCCUCAUCCUAAAGGG
Molecule: long non-coding RNA, 230 nt
Organism: Dermochelys coriacea (leatherback sea turtle)
Lineage: Eukaryota; Metazoa; Chordata; Testudines; Dermochelyidae
Exons: 3
Source: RefSeq, a predicted model, not a curated record